GCCGAGGUAGAUCAGCAUGGGAGAUCGCGCGGCUGAAGACCGCGUUGUCGCUCGUUCAAAUCGGGCCCUCGGCACCA
RNAcentral lists this transfer RNA (77 nucleotides) under Candidatus Thorarchaeota archaeon. RNAcentral's name for it is "tRNA-Phe". The record is from RNAcentral. Lineage: Archaea; Promethearchaeati; Candidatus Thorarchaeota.